RNAcentral lists this long non-coding RNA (2426 nucleotides) under Homo sapiens (human). RNAcentral describes it as "non-protein coding LINC00683:8". The record is from RNAcentral. Lineage: Eukaryota; Metazoa; Chordata; Mammalia; Primates; Hominidae.
GAGGAGCUCGCGGGCUUUCCGGCGGGCUGGCCUGAAGUGGAAGGGCCCAGGGCUGCCUGCCACCCUCAGAUGCCACGCAGGUGUUGGGAGGGCACCCGUCUGUGGGCUCAGGGACGUGUUCCCACCGACAGGCACAGAACGGAAAGCACCUUGGGGGAGACGCCCUUCUCCCCAUCUCAGGAGGGAGGCCGGGCCUGCAGACCUCCAGCCCUUCCCCAGCGCUCGCUGUGAGCUCCCCCCCCCCACCCGCCCCCCACGUGCUGGGGAGCAGGUCCGUUUCCCCACCAGUUUGCCUCUGGUCUUUGUGUUUGCUCUGAGGCCAGGCGCGCCCCCUGCUGCAGGCCUGGGCUCCUGUGUGGAGUUCUCCUUUCAGAUGUUGCUAAAAUGUCUUGAAAGGCUGCGGCCACACCAACAGACGUCGUCCGGCCUUCUUCACACGCAACGAAGCGCCCAGGUGGAAAUGCAUGUACCCGCGGCAGCUUCUCGGCAGCGGGCUUCCUGGGACGGAAGACACAGGCUCGCCCGAGGGAGACGGAAGCAGGGGAUCUGCUAGAACUCAGCUCGCCUCCUCCUUUCUCAGCAGGGCAGAGAAUCAUGGGCUUGUGCUGACGAAAGCUCCAGAAAAUGGACUCAUUUAACCUUUCCAAAGAUAUUAUCCAAGCUGCAAAAUCUUGGCAAUCUGAAGACCUUUUAAGUCGAUAUACCAAAGAGCUUUAGUCAGGAUUGAAUGCAAAAUGCCAAAAUUUCACUUUUAAAAUCAUCGUAACAUCUAAAUACAACCUAAGCACACUUGUAAACUGAUGCCGAACAGGCACUUGGAGAGCCCUCCCUGCACCCCUUCCUCGCCCCCUCCUUUGUGCAAAUGCUGUUUGCCCAGAACUUCAGCCACUGAAAAUCCUGGGAACUUUCUCUUCCUGGCUGCCAACCUAGCAGUUUGGACUCACAGACGAGAUUUUUAAAUCACUGAGGGAUUUAAGCCUCUCUGUGUCACAGAAAAGCGAACACCCUCCCAGUUGAAGGUGGCCCCAAAGAUGCGGGCCUGGGACCCAGGACUUCUGCAGGAGAGUGGACGCCUGGGUGCCCCCCGCCUUGCCCUGCACAUGGUAGGUGCUCAAUAAUUACACAAUAAAUAUUCACACAAAGCAGUGAUUCUGCCGAAGAGAUCCACUGCAAUGCACCUGGCUUCCUAGAAGCAAUAAAUGAAAAGCUUUUCUAUUUUUUUAAGAAAAGAAAAGAUUAAUGAAGCCCUGACGUAGAGGCAGAGAGCUCAACAGAAUCCAGUGACUCAAGGCGUGCGCAGAAGCAAUUUGCUUCUGAAACUCUAAACACCGUUCUUUAGUACUUCCUGACACUCCUCAGCAGCAAGCAAAUAAAUAUUUACAUGUGGAAGGAGACUGUCCUUUGAAAUAAUAACAGAGUACACCAGUCAUCAUAAGAAGAAAAAUUCACAUUUAAAGUUUGGAAAGCAACAGGACAAAGGUCUGUCUUCAGUGGUGCGUAGACAUGCUCGUGAUUGAAUUGGAAAUAGUUCUCUUUCCUUCUCUCUGACUUCCUAACUGAAAAGCUGCAGCGUGGGGAGAAAGGCUGCUCAGAAGCCUGGAGCCAGAACACGCACCCCGGCUUUUGCAGGGCCGGCUCACUUGGUUAGAAUCAAAGGAAAAGCCUUGUUAUUUGGGAAGCUGGGCGUCCUCACCAAAUUAGGGGAUUUAAUUUGCAGAUAUCUAAGGAGUGCUUUGAAAUGAAAGAUGAACUAAAAUCUGCUCUGAGGCCCGUGAUUUUUCACCAGUGAAGGACUCUCUUGCUGCUGGACAUACAUGAAAAGCAUCAUCUGAUCUGAAACGCAAGUCCCUGCAAGACAGAGGAGAGACUUUAUAAACAUUUUAUACCAUUCUAUGAAAUCAAUUCGAUUCAGGGCUAGAAUUCAAGAAGUAAUCCAUGGGCAAGUAUAUCUGAUGGUAAACCCAAACGAUUAUAUUGUUAACCUCUUGUACUUUUUUUAAUUUUUUAUUAUUUGAUAUUAUUAUCACAAAAGUCGCUGGAACAGGAUCCAUGAGCUGCUUCUUCACUGCUUAGUGUUUUCAGAAGCUGAUGGAUUAUUAAGCUCCAAUUGAAUACUUGAUUUCCAAUGAUUCCAUUAAUUUUUCUGGUUUGUGGUAGGAUUUGAUUUACUUAUUUUGUACUUUAACACACCAAUAAAAAAUAGAUACUAAGAAAUAGUGAAAUUUGUUGCUUCAAAAUAACCCUUAAAAUUUAGAGUUUAGUGAAAUUAAGCAAUUCAAAUAGAGAAACGAUUAUCCUUCAUUUCCUUAAGGCACAGAAAUUGAGACUAGGUUCAAGAACCUUCAUAUUUUAAAAACUGGAAAAUACUGGCUAAGUGAGGACUGGGCGGUCAUCCUCCACACAUGCUCUGUGUGCUUGGAGCGAAG